UACGUAGGCAGCAAGCGUUGUUCGGAGUUACUGGGCGUAAAGAGUGCGUAGGUGGUGCCCUAAGUCUGUUGUGAAAUCUCCCGGCUUAACUGGGAGAGGUCCUGGAAAACUGUCAGGCUUGAGGCAGGGAGAGGGAUGUGGAAUUCCCGGUGUAGUAGUGAAAUGCGUAGAGAUCCGGAGGAACCCCAGAGGCGAAGGCGGCAUCCUGGCCCGCUACUGACACUCAGACACGACAGCAUGGGGAGCGAACGGG
This 253-nucleotide ribosomal RNA is filed under the name uncultured bacterium. RNAcentral describes it as "partial 16S ribosomal RNA". It matches the Rfam family "Bacterial small subunit ribosomal RNA", at positions 524 to 776 of the family's 1533-position model. The record is from RNAcentral.